This 270-nucleotide ribosomal RNA is filed under the name uncultured bacterium. Its description in RNAcentral is "partial 16S ribosomal RNA". It matches the Rfam family "Bacterial small subunit ribosomal RNA", at positions 793 to 1055 of the family's 1533-position model. The record is from RNAcentral.
GUCCACGCCGUAAACUAUGGGUGCCAGCCGUCGGUGAGCUUGCUCAUCGGUGGCGCAGCUAACGCUUUAAGCACCCCGCCUGGGGAGUACGGUCGCAAGAAUUAAAACUCAAAAGGAAUUGGACGGGGGCCCGCACAAGCGGUGGAGCAUGUGGUUUAAUUCGAAGCAACGCGCAGAACCUUACCAACCCUUGACAUCCCGGUUGCGAGGAUCAGAGAUGAGCCUUUUCAGGUUAAGCUGGACCGGUGACAGGUGCUGCAUGGCUGUCGU